Molecule: ribosomal RNA, 252 nt
Filed under: uncultured bacterium
Lineage: Bacteria
Description: partial 16S ribosomal RNA
Rfam family: Bacterial small subunit ribosomal RNA
Source: RNAcentral
UACGAAGGGGGCGAGCGUUGUUCGGAUUUACUGGGCGUAAAGGGCGCGCAGGCGGCGAUUUUUGUCAGGCGUGAAAGCCCCGGGCUUAACCUGGGAAUGGGGCUUGGGACGGGAUCGCUAGAGAUCGGGAGAGGAGAGUGGAAUUCCCAGUGUAGAGGUGAAAUUCGUAGAUAUUGGGAAGAACACCGGUGGCGAAGGCGGCUCUCUGGACCGAGACUGACGCUGAGGCGCGAAAGCGUGGGGAGCAAACAG